RNAcentral lists this ribosomal RNA (597 nucleotides) under Triticum aestivum (bread wheat). Its description in RNAcentral is "partial small subunit ribosomal RNA". The record is from RNAcentral. Lineage: Eukaryota; Viridiplantae; Streptophyta; Magnoliopsida; Poales; Poaceae.
AUGAUUAAGCGCUUGAAGGACCAAUACUUUGCAGAACUCAGUGAUCUGUACAGUCAUGUCUCUGGGAAUUUGAACGUUGUUGACAAUAUCAUACCCCGUCAAGAGCCAUUAGAGCAGUAUGAUUGGAUGAGGAACUUCAAAAUUAUGCUUGAGCACAUACUGCAAGUCCUGCAAAUGAGCAAGAAUAGCAUUCAACUUGAACCUGCUUUGAGGAACGAAGUUUGUCAAUACGAGAAGCGAAUUAUUAAAAUGCGGAUGCUUAAAGUGUACGUGCCUCAACAACAGCUUCUCACACAACAGCCACAUCAAGUACAAAAACUACAGCAAUGGUCUCUAACACCGUCACAUCAAGUACAGAAAGUACAGAAACUACAGCCACAUUUGAUACAUACAGCACAGAUGCAACCAAACAAUCCACAGCAACAUCACCUGAUGAUGCAACAGCAACAACAACGGCCUCUGACACAGUCAACACAGAUGCAAGCAAACAUUCAGCAUCAACGGUCUAUGAUGUCUUCGACACAGAUGGCACGGAUUUUAGCAUGUAGGGAAGCCCAGGUGCAACAACUAUUUCAGUGGCAACCGUCUCAGAUGUGA